ACCUUUCUGGGAUGUUCGAUAACUCCUGUUUAUUUUGAACCUACAUUUACUUAAAGGGACUCCUAUAUCUGUGGUUGGAUGACCAGCCUCCUUCGAGUGGACUUCAGAAGAUCACGUGCGGACACCCACCUGGCAUUAGCUAGGCGUCAAAAGAUGGGAGCCGGCAUCCUGGUUAGACU
RNAcentral lists this non-coding RNA (179 nucleotides) under Eubacterium sp. Its description in RNAcentral is "6S RNA". It matches the Rfam family "6S / SsrS RNA". Rfam says of the family: E. coli 6S RNA was the first non coding RNA to be sequenced, but its function was unknown until recently. The record is from RNAcentral. Lineage: Bacteria; Bacillati; Bacillota; Clostridia; Eubacteriales; Eubacteriaceae.